Molecule: ribosomal RNA, 435 nt
Filed under: uncultured bacterium
Lineage: Bacteria
Description: partial 16S ribosomal RNA
Rfam family: Bacterial small subunit ribosomal RNA
Source: RNAcentral
GAUGAACGCUGGCGGUAUGCUUAACACAUGCAAGUCGAACGGACUCUUCGGAGUUAGUGGCGGUUGCGUGAGUCACGCGUGAGAAUCUGGCUGUGGGCUCGGGACACCCCCUUGAAACGGUGGCUAAUACCGGAUGUGCCGAGCGGUAAAAGAGAACUUGCCUGAAGAUGAGCCCGCGUCUGAUUAGCUAGUUGGCGAGGUAAAGGCUCACCAAGGCAGCGAUAAGUAGCUGGUUUGAGCGGACGACCGGCCAAGCAGGGACUGGGACGCAGCCGAGACGACUACGGGAGGAAGCAGGGAAGAAUUGUCCAGAAUGGGCGAGAGCCUGACGAAGGAAUACCGCGUGUAGAAAGAAGGCUCUGGGGUUGAAAACCUCUUUGCUUAGGGAAGAACAUAAUGACGGUACCUAAGGAAUCAGCACCGGCUAACUUCGUG